GCCGGCAGCCACGCGUCCGACCCCCCGGCCCGACCCUGUCCUCUCCCGCGCCCGCCUCCCCUCCGCAGAUCCUUGCUGGGGACCCCGGCGGAGACGCCCUCCAGGCGCGGCGCGCUCCCCGGAGAACGGCUGGUCCGGCUCCGCGGCCCCUCCCCACCUCCCCGCCUCCCCGGGCCUCGGGCUGGGUCGAGUCGGCUCCGGGGUAACGCGGCUCCCUGCGCCUCCUCUGCGCCCGGAGCGGCCCCGGUCCCUGGUAGCGGCGGAGGAGGUGGGGUCCCUGCGCCGAGGGACGUCUGUCCGCGUGUGCGCCCGAGCGUGUGCCCCGCGUGUUUGCAGGAGUGCGCGCGCCUGAGGCUGUCUGGGCGCCUGCACUUCAGGUGUCAAAUCCACUGACGUCGGGGUCUCGGCAUCUCCCUUUCUCCGCUGCGCCCAGAAACUUCCUUUCCGGGGAAUGUGGAGGCUCCUUCACGCUUCUCCCCAGGGGCGUGAGGCCCCGGCGCGCUGCUGCUGCUGUGCGCGCGCGUCUGUGCCUGCGUGCGCGCGUGUUUGUGUGUGCUUGUGUUUGUGUGUCCAUGUGUGGGCGGUGUGUGUGCGCGUGCGUUUGUGGGUGCAUGUGUGGGUGCGUAUUUGUGUGUGGAUGCAUGUGUGCGCGCGUGUGUAUUUGUGUGUGGGCGCGUGUGUGUGCGCGCGUUUGUGUGUGUGCAUGUGUGCGUGUGUGCUGGUGGGGCGUUCUGGCUGAGGGCUCCCGCGGGGCGGGGAGACCCCGGACCCAUCGGCACCACGUCCCUUUCCACUGAGAAGUGGCGGGCGAGCUGGUGGCGACCAGGGCCUGCGAGGCUGCGGUUUUUCUCUGGGCUUCAGCAGCUUCUGAAGUGGGCUCCCGGAGGCGUUUCCGGAGAGGAGGCUGUGUCUGGACUUCUGGUUUAUCUGGAGGGAUCUGCUUUUCCCUGGUUGUUUUAUCUUGGGAGAGUGAUGUGGAAGUCCUCCCCCUCCCCCAGAGCAAGACCGUUUCCUGGAGUGACUGUUCCAUAUUCAUGCCAUGAGUGUGCUGGACCACAGCGCGGUUCAGGCUGGAGAGGCUUCCAGGGCCUGCAGUGUCGCGGUCCCCACGGUCCUUCUCCCCCACUGAGCCGCACUUCGCAGCCGGCCUCUUCCCGUGUGAAGAGGCCUCCGGGAACGGGCUGAGUGUCAGUUGUUGAUGACAUUUGAUGCUGCCGGAGGCAUUCCAGCUCCCCUAAACCAGCGGGCUGUUUCCUGUCGGCUUUAUUUUGGUUUGCGGAUCAUCGCUGAGACACUGUCUUGAUAUUUGGCCCAGAAGCGCUGCAGCUAGGAUGUGGCAGCACUUCCGCUUUGAGUAGUCCAGAGAGGAGGGAUUUCUUUUGUUAAUGUGGUUUAAAUCCGCUGUCACUUUCAUACAAGAAAGCCAGAGCUGGCGCUCCCUGAAGUGCCUGAGGUCGCCUUGCCUGGGUGGGGAAAGGUCGCGGCCCGUGGGGGUCAGUUUGCUGCUCUUUCCUUCAGCCAAGGCUGCUUGGCUCAGCCAGCGAGUCUGAGGAGUGUGAGAAGCACUGGGCUUCCUCAGUCACGGGGGCAGGAGGGCUGGAGGUGGGUGCCCCUGUGGGGCAGUGCCAGGUCUCCAGGCAGCAGGCAGAGGCGGCCUGGGGCUUUGCGGCUCGGGGGUGGGGGGCCCACAGCCGGCACAGCAUGCUCGCUGUGUACUCCAGGAAGGGCUACACUUCAGGCCACGGCAGGACUUUACAGAAGGCAUGGGAAGUAGAACAGGAGGGCGAGGGAAGACCAGAGUCUCAGACCAGAUACUCAGACCCUGAGUCUCCCAGAAGGCAGCUUCACCGGCCUGCGGGCACUCGGCCCCACUUCCGACAGGCGUGGGGGUCAGGCACCCUGGAGGAUCCCUCGGAGAGAAGGAGGUUUGGAGAUGCCACAACUUGGUCAGGCUCUGUGCUCCACUUUAAACAAGCCAGUGAAACCCUGGCUCAGCUGAGGCUUAGGCUGCUAAUCCCACGUGGGGCCUGGAUAUCAUCUGAACCUUUGACCCUCCCAGGGGCAGCAGCAGUGAGGACGGGUAGAGAGGCCCAAAUGCCAGCUGCCCGACUCUCUGGAUGUGGCUCCAGCAAGAAGUCCCCGUUUCCUCUCCCCUCCAGAGGUCACCUGCAGGGCUGGCUGCCUGAGGGGUAUCUGUGCCCCAAGUAGCUGGGGAGACAGGGCACCUCCUGCAUUUGAGCAGAGAUGCAGUCUGGGCUGGAGACCCUGAGGGUGACCUGUGGGUGCGCUGGUUUGGGGUUAGUCUCAUGUAACUGUGCUGCUGGCCUGAUACCCCGGGGCUCCAGCAGAAAGCCCAUCUGUAGAAGCGAAGUGGAGGAUGACCCUGAGCGGCGCUGGUGCCAGGGGGCCACUGAGCCCCUCAGGCUCUUUCUUUAAUCCACAUUCAUGGCCAACCUUGGCUCUGACUUGCCCUGCCUGAGUCCCUGGUCUUGAAGGCUCAGACAAGAUGGUGCCCCUGUGGUUGAUUUGAGGGCCCCUCGCUGUCAUUCACCUCUGAGCCUUGUCUCCAGGAGCGCUGGAUUUGCCCAUGAGUCUGCCAGUGACUUGCUGCAUGACCCAGGGCCCGUGUCUUCCCCUUCAUAACCUCAUUUUUCCGUUUGCAAAAGCCAGGCAAUUAUUGUCUACUACAUCCGGUGGGAACGUACAAGGCAGUGUUGUUCAGGGUUAAGUUAACACCCUGCCCCCUCACUCCCAGAACAAGAAUUGUCCCUAAAGUUAUACCAUAAGCAAUUCUGCUACUACUCUUACUAAGAAAAAAAGCCAGCACAUUUCUGGGGGGAUUGGGAGCUUUUUUUAAGGUAUAGGGGCAUUGGCCAUUUAAAUUCUUAAAUAGCUUUGAAAUGUGUGGUGGUGUGUGGCCUCAUUCAGACGUUGACAUUGGGAAAAAUGGAAAGAAUCUCUUCCUCCUUUCCCCCUUCCUCUUUCUUUGUCCUUCCAGCUCUUGCAGGUGAGGUAAUAAGAGGAGAGCGCCACGUAGAAGUGAGGUGCUUUGGUGGUAACAAUUUGGAGUCUUUGUCUUGAAGAAUCUGGCUUUCUGCAUUUCAGUUUUGUGGAAUCAUUUUGGAUAUGUCCUUCUGUGCACUUAAACAUCUUAAACACUGUGUCUUUUGAAACAGUCAUUAACCUUUCACAGUAGAGUCUGUGUAUCAUGCAUGACUGAGCCACACUUCCUAUGCGAUCGCUGCUUUGAGGAAGCCUGUGCUUCGGACUUUCCAUGAGUCAGGGACCCACAGGGAGGGCACUUCCGCCACGGCCACGGCGUUGUUUUGGGGCCCCCGCCCCCAAGGCGUGCAGUGCCUCCUCCCCUCGCAGUGAUGUCUUCCGUUUCCACAAUACUUACUGCUUGUUUUUAAAUGUGGCGCCUUAUCUUGAUACAUGUGUUCAAUAAAGAGCAACACACAAGGUGUUUCUCUCAAUCUGUUACAGAAAAAAAAAAAGCCAGCCCCGCGGUCCAGGGCGGGAAAGGCUCUCGCACCGCGGUGACCCUGCCGUCGAGCUGGAGGCGGUCAGCGUCCGGGAAUGCCGUCCGUGGGAGGCCGGGCCUGCCGUGGGCUCCCCGCUGGGGCUUCCUGUGGCUCUCUGGUCGCUCCCUUCUUUCUCCUCUGGGCUCAGUGCCUGUGGCUCCGCUGGGCUCUUGCUCCCUUCCUGUGAGGCUGGAGCUUGUCCGUGAAGAAGACCCACGGCCGGUCUGGCCCAACAUUGAACCGCUGGUGCCUGCAGGCCUGUGGGGCAGUGAGGGCCAGGGGCUGCCGGCCUCCAGCCCCAGCUAUCCCUCUCCUGAUCACAAACAGAAUCCCACCUGAAGCAGGAGGAGGUGGCACCGGGUGAGAAUAGGGAGAAUGACAAGUGGGGUGCCUGGAGGGUCCCCUGGACUGUGCCUCCCUGGCCCCAGCUCCUGGGCUAGAAGGUAAGGGCUCCGGGCCCAGCUCUGCUAGAAGUGGCAGCUGACACUCUCAGCCUGAUGGACUCCCUCACGGGAGGUGGAGGCCGCUGGUCACAGGGCUGUUACAGGCAUCAAAUUAGGUGAUGGUCUGUUUAAUAAGAGAAAGUAGCAACAGUGUCUUCAGAGGGCUAGGGCUCACUCAGGUAAGAGAAGUGUUUUGUGAAGGUGAGGGAGGGAUACUGGCCACGCCGUGGCUUUCCCCGUGUCUGUCUGACAGUGUAAGGAGGGGCUGUGUGGCCACACAUGGGCCUUGGCAUCAGAGAUCCUAGAUUCCCCUAAUGCUAAAAUUAACUUGGAUAUUUUAUUAACCGAGCUCAGCUAAGCUGCCUGUGCUAUUUUUAACCCCUGAGGACGAAGGUGCAGGGCCUGGCUGCACCUGGGAAACAGCAGGGGCUCCGGCAGGGGCAGGUUCAGCCUGGGGCCCGGGCCUUGCCUGGAAAGGGGAGUGGGUUUCUUGUGCGUGUGUGGGUGUGGAGGCUGGAUGCAGAUGCUAAGGGCGUCGUUUCCAUGUAUUAUCUCAUUUUAUCUAAACUCUGGAAACUCCACGGCACUGAGGUGGAGAAAGGGAGACCCACGGAUUUAUCUGGGCCCAAGCACCCCAGCUCCACGGGCUCCUGGGAUCCGAGUUCUUCUCCUCACCACUUAGUAUUGUCCAUUAAUUUUUUUUUCUUUGAGACUGGGCCUCACUGUGUUGCCCAGGCUGGUCUCCAACUCUCCAACUCCAGGACUCAAGGGAUCUUCCUGCUUCAACUUCCUGAGUAGCUGGGACACAGGUGCUCACCACUGCAGCCUGCCUGUCAGUUUGGAGAGCUGUUUCUUCUCUGUGAUCUUGGAUUGGAAUGGGGGGAAUCAUGGAGGGCUGGAGAACAGAGAGACUUGUUGGUGACCUUAGGGACACGAGGCAGGCAGUGUUCAGGCAGGGAAGGAAGGAAGGGGCUGCUGGUCUGUGUGGGUGGACAGUGGCCUGGGAGGCCCAAGACACAGGGUGUGCUGGGAAGACAGUUUGGAGAUGCAGAGGUGAUCCUUUAAGCAGGGCCACAGCCACCCAUCCAGCCUUCAGGUGUGUGAGCAAAUGGUGCCUGGCAGGUGGACUCAGCCAGGGUGCUGGACUGGUGGGCAGAGUGUGGACCCCGGAGGCAGCCCUGGGGGCGUCAUUCCUGGAAGGGAAUCUGGCAUUGGUGGAAAACACUUUGACUUGCUUCUUUGGAGCUAAUGGAAGCAAAUGAGGCAUUUGGAGCUAAGGAGCGUGUGAACCGCGCAGGCGCAGAGUGGAUGAGCGGCGUCUCCCUGAGGCUGUGGCACCGUGUUUGCAGGUGGCGCGUCAUGUUUUAAACAUAGACGUGUGUGUGUUUAGAAAGGAGGUGGACGUAUUGGCUGGAAACAGCCACAAGCAAAGUGAUGGCUGCUAAGGUUUUGAAAGUGAAGGCUGCUGAGCGAUGGUGGGAGGGGCUUGGUGAGGAGGAGAGCUCCUGGGGGCCCUCGGGGGAGACGUGGACGUAGCGAACCCACUUGGAAUCAGACACCCGAGACUGCGUGCUGGCCACGUUUCUUGACAAUUCUUUGAUUUUAGAUGACCCCUAACCUCUCUCUGCCUUGGUUUCUUGGUUUGUGAAAGUGGAGGCCAAGGCCUUCUUUUGCAGAGAUUAAUGGGACUUAGAUGCACCAGGCACUUCCCCCGCUCAGAUCUUCAUAGAUGGGAGGUAUUAUUCUAGCAGAAUUUGAAGCUAUCUGUUCGUCUGUAAUGAACUGGACUUCUAUGUAAGCAAAUAUAUAAUUUGAAAAAGAGCUACACUUUAAUAAGUAGGAGGGUGUUGAGAUCCGGGAGAGCUCACACUCUGGAGAGGUGGCUUUUGUUUUUGGUUUUGGCUGUCAUCUGGGUGUCUGGGAGGGAUGGCUUUCAACUUGCUCCUGAAGAGAGAGGUGGCUUUGGUUUUGGCUGUCAUCUUGGAGGGGGUCUGGGAGGGGUAGCUUUGAACUUGCCCCUGAAGAGAGAGUGAGGUCUCAGGAAGGGAAGGAAUCAUUUGGGUUGGGCUGGUGUUAUGAGAUGCACGGCCUGGCCUUUGAGGGGCCCAGAUAAGUUAGCUGGAGGGGCCAGUGGGACGUGUGGAUGGGCCUCUGGCCGAUGGGUUGACAGAAGGGGCCACACGGGGUCCCGUGGGGAUGUGGUGUCAUGCCCCGCAGGUGCCGGUACCUCUGGAGGGUGCGAGGUUGGACAGCAGGUGCCGGUACCUCUGGAGGGUGCGAGGUUGGACAGCAGGUGCCGGUACCUCUGGAGGGUGCGAGGUUGGACAGCAGGUGCCGGUACCUCUGGAGGGUGCGAGGUUGGGCAGCAGGUGCCGGUACCUCUGGAGGGUGCGAGGUUGGGCAGCAGGUGCCGGUACCUCUGGAGGGUGCGAGGUUGGGCAGCAGGUGCCGGUACCUCUGGAGGGUGCGAGGUUGGGCAGCAGGUGCCGGUACCUCUGGAGGGUGCGAGGUUGGGCAGCAGGUGCCGGUACCUCUGGAGGGUGCGAGGUUGGACAGCCGUUGUGGAACUGUGGUGGGGGUCGGGGAGGCAGCUCACUGAGCGCGUCUCGUCUUACGCAGCCGCGGGUCAGAGCAGGGGUCUGUGUUCACGCAGGAAAGGAGGGGCUUGCCGUGCAACCAGAGCUUCUAGCUUUGAACCAUAGGUGAAGGCGAUGAACAGACGUGUCUACUGCAGCAGCACCUGUGGCCAGUGGCUGAGUGAGCAAAUAGCAAACAGUAGAAGCAAUGUUGAGGAGUUGGGGUCUCCCCACCAAUCUCCUGUCGAACUGUCACCCCGUCGUUGGAAGUGGGGCCUGGUGGGAAGCGACUGGAUCUUGAGGGUGGAUUUAUAUGAACAGCUCAGCGCUAUCCCCUUGGUGCUGUUCUCACGAUAGUGAGUGAGUUCUCGUGAGAUCCGGUGGCACACCUCCCACCUCGCGCUCUUGCCCCCGCUCUCGCCGUGUGAGACACCUGCUCCCCCUUCACCUUCUGCCAUGACUGGAAGCUUCCCGAGGCCUCCCCAGAAGCAGAUGCCUCCAUACUUCCUGUACGGCUUGCAGCACCGUGACCAAUAAACCUCGUUUAUUUUGAAUUA
This is a long non-coding RNA of Homo sapiens (human), 7100 nucleotides long. RefSeq lists it as uncharacterized. The transcript is spliced from 2 exons. The record is from RefSeq and is a predicted model, not a curated record. NCBI's taxonomy places the organism in Eukaryota, Metazoa, Chordata, Mammalia, Primates, Hominidae.